RNAcentral lists this ribosomal RNA (253 nucleotides) under uncultured bacterium. RNAcentral describes it as "partial 16S ribosomal RNA". It matches the Rfam family "Bacterial small subunit ribosomal RNA", at positions 524 to 776 of the family's 1533-position model. The record is from RNAcentral.
UACAGAGGGUGCAAGCGUUGUUCGGAAUUAUUGGGCGUAAAGCGCGUGUAGGCGGCUUUGCAAGUCAGGUGUGAAAGCCCUCAGCUUAACUGAGGAAGUGCGCCCGAAACUGCUUGGCUUGAGUACCGGAGAGGAUGGUGGAAUUCCCGAAGUAGAGGUGAAAUUCGUAGAUAUCGGGAGGAACACCGGUGGCGAAGGCGACCAUCUGGACGGAUACUGACGCUGAGACGCGAAAGCGUGGGUAGCAAACAGG